This 523-nucleotide ribosomal RNA is filed under the name uncultured bacterium. Its description in RNAcentral is "partial 16S ribosomal RNA". It matches the Rfam family "Bacterial small subunit ribosomal RNA", at positions 28 to 523 of the family's 1533-position model. The record is from RNAcentral.
GACGAACGCUGGCGGCGUGCCUAAUACAUGCAAGUCGAACGCUUUUUCUUUCACCGGAGCUUGCUCCACCGAAAGAAAAAGAGUGGCGAACGGGUGAGUAACACGUGGGUAACCUGCCCAUCAGAAGGGGAUAAUACUUGGAAACAGGUGCUAAACCCGUACAACACUAUUAUCCGCAUGGAAGAAAGUUCAACGGCUUUUUUUCGUCACUGACGGAUGGACCCGCGUUGGAUUAGCUAGUUGGUGAGGUAACGGCUCACCAAGGCAACGAUGCAUAGCCGACCUGAGAAGGUAAUCGGCCAAAGUGGGACUGAGAAUCGGCGAAGACUCAUACGGGAGGUAGCAGUGGGGAAUCUUCGGCAAUGGACGUAAGUCUGACCGAGCAACGCCGCGUGAGUGAAGAAGUUUUUCGGAUCGUAAAACUCUGUUGUUAGAGAAGAACAAGGAUGAGAGUAAAACGUUCAUACCUUGACGGUAUCUAACCAGAAAGCCACGGCUAACUACGUGCCAGCAGCCGCGGUAA